AUGUCCGUUCUAUUAAGAAGACCUCCCGGCCGUGAGGCUUAUCCAGGGGAUGUUUUUUAUUUGCAUUCACGCCUUUUAGAAAGACCUGGUAAAUUAAAUUCUCUUUUAGGCGAAGGAAGUAUGACCGCUUUCCCAAUAGUCGAGACUCAAUCUGGAGAUGUUUCUGCCUAUAUUCCUACUAAUGUAAUCUCCAUUACAGAUGGACAAAUAUUCUUAUCUGCGGAUCUAUUCAAUGCCGGAAUUCGACCCGCUAUUAAUGUGGGUAUUUCUGUUUCCAGAGUAGGAUCCGCGGCUCAAAUUAAAGCCAUGAAACAAGUAGCUGGAAAAUCAAAAUUGGAACUAGCGCAAUUCGCAGAGUUACAAGCCUUUGCACAAUUCGCCUCUGCUCUCGAUAAAACAAGUCAGAAUCAAUUGGCAAGGGGUCGUCGAUUAAGGGAAUUGCUUAAACAAUCCCAGGCAAAUCCUCUCCCAGUGGAAGAGCAGAUGGCUACUAUUUAUACCGGAACAAGAGGAUAUCUUGAUUUGUUAGAAAUUGAACAGGUAAAUAAAUUUCUGGAUGAGUUAUGUAAACAUCUAAAAGAUACUAAACCUCAAUUCCAAGAAAUUAUAUCUUCUAGCAAGACAUUCACCGAGCAAGCGGAAAUCCUUUUGAAGGAAGCUAUUCGCGAACAGCUGGAACGGUUUUCUCUUCAGUAA
RNAcentral lists this ribosomal RNA (696 nucleotides) under Triticum aestivum (bread wheat). RNAcentral's name for it is "partial small subunit ribosomal RNA". Lineage: Eukaryota; Viridiplantae; Streptophyta; Magnoliopsida; Poales; Poaceae. The record is from RNAcentral.